AUGCAUUCGGUCGAUUUUAGCAGUAUUGCCAAUUUGAAGGAUUCACUUGCCAACUCGAAUUCUUUCAAAAUUCGACCGGCGAAAGAUGGAGUAGCACACGGAUUUUCUGUGCAUUUCACAUCUGAUCUAACUGGUCACGGAUUAAAGGAUUAAAGGAUUAAAGGACGAUCCGUUCUUCAAGUGCUAUGCACUGCGGACAAUAUCAUUGACUCGUCGAAAUUAAGGGCAUGGGAUCUUGGAAUUAUUCCAUUCAAGGAACCAUGUUUGGUGAAGUGUGAUAAAGAAUAUGAAGGAUCAUGGAAACUCUUGAAUAAUCGAUUGGAUGUGUACAAUGAUUUUUACGACGAAAAUCUUCAAAAACACGAGGACAGUCUUCGCUACGAGACCGCUUCAAUGGAUCAACUUCAGAAAAUCCGUGAUGAUAGUUAUUUCAAGGCAAUGAUGGGAGAAAUUGAUCCGAUUGAACUUCCAUUUACUCGUGAUAUUUCAUCGAGUAUUCCAGCUCAGUGUGUAUUAAAUACUGUGGAAAGCCAAACGCCUAUAAGGCAUCUUAUUAAUGCCGACUGAAGUUCGUGGAAGAAGAAAUCGAAGAGAUUCCCCAAACUCAAGGACCCUCCAAGGCCCCCGAGCUUCCCCGAGCCACGAGCCCCACGCUCCCGAGCCAUGAGCAAAGCAAGAGAAAUGGAGAUUCGAGUGAUGACGAUGAGUCCAACGAGGAUGAGGACGAAUAAUAAUUAG
This 738-nucleotide unclassified non-coding RNA is filed under the name Caenorhabditis elegans. RNAcentral describes it as "Non-coding transcript of protein-coding gene C48D1.5g". Lineage: Eukaryota; Metazoa; Nematoda; Chromadorea; Rhabditida; Rhabditidae. The record is from RNAcentral.